Molecule: non-coding RNA, 48 nt
Filed under: Trichobilharzia regenti
Lineage: Eukaryota; Metazoa; Platyhelminthes; Trematoda; Strigeidida; Schistosomatidae
Source: RNAcentral
AGCUAUCUGACGAGUCCCAAAUAGGACGAAAUGCGCGUUACUCUCGAU